UGGAUUAAGAGCUUGCUCUUAUGAAGUUAGCGGCGGACGGGUGAGUAACACGUGGGUAACCUGCCCAUAAGACUGGGAUAACUCCGGGAAACCGGGGCUAAUACCGGAUAACAUUUUGCACNGCAUGGNGCGAAAUUGAAAGGCGGCUUCGGCUGUCACUUAUGGAUGGACCCGCGUCGCAUUAGCUAGUUGGUGAGGUAACGGCUCACCAAGGCAACGAUGCGUAGCCGACCUGAGAGGGUGAUCGGCCACACUGGGACUGAGACACGGCCCAGACUCCUACGGGAGGCAGCAGUAGGGAAUCUUCCGCAAUGGACGAAAGUCUGACGGAGCAACGCCGCGUGAGUGAUGAAGGCUUUCGGGUCGUAAAACUCUGUUGUUAGGGAAGAACAAGUGCUAGUUGAAUAAGCUGGCACCUUGACGGUACCUAACCAGAAAGCCACGGCUAACUACGUGCCAGCAGCCGCGGUAAUACGUAGGUGGCAAGCGUUAUCCGGAAUUAUUGGGCGUAAAGCGCGCGCAGGUGGUUUCUUAAGUCUGAUGUGAAAGCCCACGGCUCAACCGUGGAGGGUCAUUGGAAACUGGNAGACUUGAGUGCAGAAGAGGAAAGUGGAAUUCCAUGUGUAGCGGUGAAAUGCGUAGAGAUAUGGAGGAACACCAGUGGCGAAGGCGACUUUCUGGUCUGUAACUGACACUGANGCGCGAAAGCGUGGGGAGC
RNAcentral lists this ribosomal RNA (718 nucleotides) under Bacillus sp. EBS8. RNAcentral's name for it is "bacterial SSU rRNA". It matches the Rfam family "Bacterial small subunit ribosomal RNA", at positions 68 to 769 of the family's 1533-position model. RNAcentral also lists the same sequence under 1 other name. Lineage: Bacteria; Bacillati; Bacillota; Bacilli; Caryophanales; Bacillaceae. The record is from RNAcentral.